GGUAGCAUAAUCAUUAGCUUUUUAAUUGAAAGAUGGAAUGAAUGGUGACAUAGAUUAUUAGAUUUUUCAAGCCUUUCAAAUUUUCACAUUCGAUGAAAAUUUCGAAAUAUUAAUUUUAGACAAAAAGACCCUAUGAAGCUUUAUAACUUAAGUCUCCUAUUAUCAAAAGUUAUUUUUUUGGGGUAAAAAAUAAUUUUACUAUUUUUCUUUUUAACUGUUCCUGAUCCUAAUUUGAACCAAGAAGAAGCUCCUCUAGGGAUAACAGCAUAAUCUGGGCUGAGAGAUCGUAUUAAAGCCCGGGCUUGUGAC
Molecule: ribosomal RNA, 309 nt
Filed under: Subeucalanus mucronatus
Lineage: Eukaryota; Metazoa; Arthropoda; Copepoda; Calanoida; Eucalanidae
Description: partial 16S ribosomal RNA
Source: RNAcentral